This 253-nucleotide ribosomal RNA is filed under the name uncultured bacterium. Its description in RNAcentral is "partial 16S ribosomal RNA". It matches the Rfam family "Bacterial small subunit ribosomal RNA", at positions 524 to 776 of the family's 1533-position model. The record is from RNAcentral.
UACAGGGGGUGCAAACGUUGCUCGGAAUUAUUGGGCGUAAAGCGCGCGUAGGCGGCCACUUAAGUCGGAUGUGAAAGCCCCUGGCUCAACUGGGGAAGUGCACCCGAAACUGAAUGGCUUGAAUGCAAAAGAGGGUCGCGGAAUUCCCGGUGUAGAGGUGAAAUUCGUAGAUAUCGGGAGGAACACCGGUGGCGAAGGCAGCUCGCUGGAACGGUACUGACGCUAAGGCGCGAAAGCGUGGGGAGCGAACAGG